AACGUACGCUGGCGGCACGCCUAACACAUGCAAGUCGAACGAAGUAGCAAUACUUAGUGGCAGACGGGUGAGUAACAUGUAGGUAUCUGCCCUUUGGCCUGGAAUAACACGAGGAAACUUGUGCUAAUACCGGAUAAGUCUUUACGGAGAAAGCUUUAUGCACCAUUGGAUGAGCCUGCACUUGAUUAGUUUGUUGGUGGGGUAAUGGCCUACCAAGACUGUGAUCAAUAGCUGAUUUGAGAGGAUGAUCAGCCACAUUGGGACUGAGACACGGCCCAAACUCCUACGGGAGGCAGCAGUGGGGAAUCUUGCACAAUGGAGGAAACUCUGAUGCAGCGAUGCCGCGUGAGUGAAGAAGGCCCUUGGGUUGUAAAGCUCCUUCGUCGGGGAAGAAAAUGACUGUACCCGAAUAAGAAGGUCCGGCUAACUUCGUGCCAGCAGCCGCGGUAAUACGAAGGGACCUAGCGUAGUUCGGAAUUACUGGGCUUAAAGAGUUCGUAGGUGGUUGAAAAAGUUAGUGGUGAAAUCCCAGAGCUUAACUCUGGAACUGCCAUUAAAACUUUUCAGCUAGAGUAUGAUAGAGGAAAGCAGAAUUUCUAGUGUAGAGGUGAAAUUCGUAGAUAUUAGAAAGAAUACCAAUUGCGAAGGCAGCUUUCUGGAUCAUUACUGACACUGAGGAACGAAAGCAUGGGUAGCGAAGAGGAUUAGAUACCCUCGUAGUCCAUGCCGUAAACGAUGUGUGUUAGACGUUGGAAAUUUAUUUUCAGUGUCGCAGGGAAACCGAUAAACACACCGCCUGGGGAGUACGACCGCAAGGUUAAAACUCAAAUGAAUUGACGGGGACCCGCACAAGUAGUGGAGCAUGUGGUUUAAUUCGAAGAUACGCGCAGAACCUUACCAACACUUGACAUGUUCGUCGCGACUCUAAGAGAUUAGAGUCUUCGGUUCGGCCGGACGAAACACAGGUGCUGCAUGGCUGUCGUCAGCUCGUGUCGUGAGAUGUUGGGUUAAGUCCCGCAACGAGCGCAACCCUCACUUUUAGUUGCCAUCAUUAAGUUGGGCACUCUGAAAGAACUGCCAGUGAUAAGCUGGAGGAAGGUGGGGAUGACGUCAAGUCCUCAUGGCCCUUACGUGUUGGGCUACACACGUGCUACAAUGGUAUCUACAACAGGAAGCAAGACUGCGAAGUUAAGCAAAUCCCUAAAAGAUACCUCAGUUCGGAUUGCACUCUGCAACUCGAGUGCAUGAAGCUGGAAUUACUAGUAAUCGUGGAUCAGCGUGCCACGGUGAAUGCGUUCCCGGGUCU
This 1306-nucleotide ribosomal RNA is filed under the name uncultured bacterium. RNAcentral's name for it is "bacterial SSU rRNA". It matches the Rfam family "Bacterial small subunit ribosomal RNA", at positions 28 to 1381 of the family's 1533-position model. The record is from RNAcentral.